GCUGGGCGUGGUGGUGUGCACCUGUAGUCCCAACUACUUGGGAGGUUGAGGCAGGAGAAUCGCUUGAACCCAGGAGGCACAGGUUGCGGUGAGCUAAGAUGAUGCCACUGCACUCCAGCCUGGCAACAGAGUGAGAAAGAAAAAAAAGAGACACAGAGUCUGGUUCUGUUGCCCACGCUGGAGUGCAAUGGAGCAAUCUCAGCUUACUGCAACCUCUGCCUCCCGGGUUCAAGUGAUUCUCCUGCCUCA
RNAcentral lists this small RNA (249 nucleotides) under Saimiri boliviensis boliviensis (Bolivian squirrel monkey). Its description in RNAcentral is "Metazoan signal recognition particle RNA (ENSSBOG00000001700.1)". Lineage: Eukaryota; Metazoa; Chordata; Mammalia; Primates; Cebidae. The record is from RNAcentral.